RNAcentral lists this ribosomal RNA (333 nucleotides) under Aeromonas salmonicida subsp. smithia. Its description in RNAcentral is "bacterial SSU rRNA". It matches the Rfam family "Bacterial small subunit ribosomal RNA", at positions 1 to 328 of the family's 1533-position model. The record is from RNAcentral. Lineage: Bacteria; Pseudomonadati; Pseudomonadota; Gammaproteobacteria; Aeromonadales; Aeromonadaceae.
AAAUUGAAGAGUUUGAUCAUGGCUCAGAUUGAACGCUGGCGGCAGGCCUAACACAUGCAAGUCGAGCGGCAGCGGGAAAGUAGCUUGCUACUUUUGUCGGCGAGCGGCGGACGGGUGAGUAAUGCCUGGGGAUCUGCCCAGUCGAGGGGGAUAACAGUUGGAAACGACUGCUAAUACCGCAUACGCCCUACGGGGGAAAGGAGGGGACCUUCGGGCCUUUCGCGAUUGGAUGAACCCAGGUGGGAUUAGCUAGUUGGUGGGGUAAUGGCUCACCAAGGCGACGAUCCCUAGCUGGUCUGAGAGGAUGAUCAGCCACACUGGAACUGAGACACG